AGAUUGAACGCUGGCGGUAGGCCUAACACAUGCAAGUCGAGCGCGAAAGCACCUUCGGGUGCGAGUAGAGCGGCGGACGGGUGCGUAACGCGUAGGAAUCUGCCUGGUAGUGGGGGAUAACUCGGGGAAACUCGAGCUAAUACCGCAUACGCCCCACGGGGGAAAGCGGGGGACCUUCGGGCCUCGCGCUAUCAGAUGAGCCUGCGUCGGAUUAGCUAGUUGGUAGGGUAAUGGCCUACCAAGGCGACGAUCCGUAGCUGGUCUGAGAGGAUGAUCAGCCACACUGGGACUGAGACACGGCCCAGACUCCUACGGGAGGCAGCAGUGGGGAAUAUGGACAAUGGGGCAACCUGAUCCAGCCAUACCGCGUGUGUGAAGAAGGCCUUCGGGUUGUAAAGCACUUCGAGUAGGGAAGGAAAAGUUAGCGGACGAACGUACCCGGACGACCGUCGGAACGCUACCUGACAAGAAAGAACGCACCGGACAACUCCGUAGCCAGCAGCCGACGGUAC
Molecule: ribosomal RNA, 512 nt
Filed under: uncultured soil bacterium
Lineage: Bacteria
Description: bacterial SSU rRNA
Rfam family: Bacterial small subunit ribosomal RNA
Source: RNAcentral